Molecule: ribosomal RNA, 253 nt
Filed under: uncultured bacterium
Lineage: Bacteria
Description: partial 16S ribosomal RNA
Rfam family: Bacterial small subunit ribosomal RNA
Source: RNAcentral
CACGUAGGGCGCAAGCGUUGUCCGGAAUUAUUGGGCGUAAAGAGCUCGUAGGCGGCCUGUUGCGUCCGCUGUGAAAUCCCGGGGCUCAACCCCGGGCCUGCAGUGGAUACGGGCUGGCUGGAGGCAGGCAGGGGAGAACGGAAUUCCUGGUGUAGCGGUGAAAUGCGCAGAUAUCAGGAGGAACACCGGUGGCGAAGGCGGUUCUCUGGGCCUGUUCUGACGCUGAGGAGCGAAAGCGUGGGGAGCGAACAGG